GACGAACGCUGGCGGCGUGCUUAACACAUGCAAGUCGAACGGAAAGGCCCUGCUCUUGUGGGGUGCUCGAGUGGCGAACGGGUGAGUAACACGUGAGUAACCUGCCCUUGACUUUGGGGUAACUUCAGGAAACUGGGGCUAAUACCGGAUAGGAGCUCCUGCUGCAUGGGGGGGGAUGGAAAGUUUCGGCGGUUGGGGAUGGACUCGCGGCUUAUCAGCUUGUUGGUGGAGUAGUGGCUUACCAAGGCUUUGACGGGUAGCCGGCCUGAGAGGGUGACCGGCCACAUUGGGACUGAGAUACGGCCCAGACUCCUACGGGAGGCAGCAGUGGGGAAUAUUGCACAAUGGGCGGAAGCCGGAUGCAGCAACGCCGCGUGCGGGAUGACGGCCUUCGGGUUGUAAACCGAUUUCGCCUGUGACGAAGCGUGAGUGACGGUAAUGGGUAAAGAAGCACCGGCUAACUACGUG
Molecule: ribosomal RNA, 468 nt
Filed under: uncultured bacterium
Lineage: Bacteria
Description: partial 16S ribosomal RNA
Rfam family: Bacterial small subunit ribosomal RNA
Source: RNAcentral